Molecule: ribosomal RNA, 468 nt
Filed under: uncultured bacterium
Lineage: Bacteria
Description: partial 16S ribosomal RNA
Rfam family: Bacterial small subunit ribosomal RNA
Source: RNAcentral
GACGAACGCUGGCGGCGUGCUUAACACAUGCAAGUCGAACGGAAAGGCCCUGCUUUUGUGGGGUGCUCGAGUGGCGAACGGGGGAGUAACACGUGAGUAACCUGCCCUUGACUUUGGGAUAACUUCAGGAAACUGGGGCUAAUACCGGAUAGGAGCUCCUGCUGCAUGGUGGGGGUUGGAAAGUUUCGGCGGUUGGGGAUGGACUCGCCGCUUAUCAGGUUGUUGGUUGGGUAGUGGCUUACCAAGGAUUUGCCGGAUAGCCGUUCGGAGAGGGUAAACGGCCACAUUGGGACUGAGAUACGGCCCAGACUCCUACGGGAGGCAGCAGUGGGGAAUAUUGCACAAUGGGCGGAAGCCUGAUGCAGCAACGACGCGUGCGGGAUGACGGACUUCGGGUUGUAAACCGCUUUCGCCUGUGACGAAGCGUGAGUGACGGUAAUGGGUAAAGAAGCACCGGCUAACUACGUG